Chrysemys picta bellii (western painted turtle) is the source of this 1807-nucleotide long non-coding RNA. The record is from Ensembl. Lineage: Eukaryota; Metazoa; Chordata; Testudines; Emydidae.
AGAAAGAGCUUGAGCGUCUUCUCUCCGCAGGCAUAUCCCCACAUCCACCCAGAGGAACGGGGAGUCACAUAUCUCUGCAGCAUUGUACAUGCUUCUCCUGGCCCCCUGAGUGGUUGGGGAGCUGUCUAUGACGAGCUGAUGAGAUGAGGAUAGGGUAGGGCACUGAUUCAAUGCCCAGUUAAGUUAAUUGGAUUCUUUCCAUUGACAUCAAUGGAUCACAUCCAAGCAGCAGAGAAGAUGUGAGGACUGGUGUGCUAAGUCCAUGGUUUACUACACAUGCUCCCCUGAGAAAUAAGUGAGAUAGAUAGAUCUUGAUGAAUACUAUACAUUGAAUUCAUUAUUUGCAGAAUAUUGUCAUUUUUUUCAGUGAACAUAUUCAGCUAGCACUAUAGCUGGAGAAAUACUAUUAAUCAACACCACUUCAGUAUGACUAGCCCAGUUUUGUGGUGGAAGACAUAAGUGGGGCUUAAAAUUUGUGCUGGCCCUUCUGCCCAAGGAGUGAAUUUCAUUCUCAAGCGCUAACACAAAACGAAUUGGAUACUUUGGUGAAUAUUUGUGAGCAUUGGAGCAGCUCUAUAGAUCAUCAUCAUAAUAUAGAACAAUUUCCAUUUUUUCUUCAGAAGCAAUGGUCUGAAGUUUCAGAAGCCAGUUCCUGUCUCUUCUGAUAUGAAAAGCUCUAUCAGCAAUUUCUCUCUCAAGACUGUUGUCCUCAAGGGAGUGUUCAAGAAAUUCAAAGAGACUCUGCAGGAUGAACUGGGAAAAGGUGAAAAAGGUAAAAGGAACGUAGUCUUUACCUUGUGGUUGUAAGUUACACAGGGUUUUGGCACAGGUGCCAACUUUCUUCUUUCCGGGUGGGUGCUCCAACCCUCUCUGCCCUGAGGCCCUGCCCCCACUCUGCCCCUUCUCUCAAGGUCCCACCCUUGCUCUGUCUCUUCCUGCCCCCACUCCACUCCCUCUCCCCAGCGACUCCUGCCCACUGCUGAACAGCUGAUCGGCAGAGCCCACUACACAGCUGAUUGGUGGGUGCUGAACCCACUAUUUUUUUUUUUCCACACUGGAGCACCCAUAGAGUCGGCACUUACGAGUUUUGGUGGAGGAAAAUGACAAUUUUAAUUUUCUUCUCUCUCAAUGGUUUCCAGAUGCAGUUGGCUUAGGCCUGGUCUACACUAAAAAGUGAAGUUGACCCAGCUGUGUCGCUCAGGAGUGUAAAAAAUCCACACCCCAUAGCGACAAAGCUAAGCCAACCUAAUUCUCCAGGUAGACUGCACUAGGUCAACAGAAGAAUUCUUUUGUUGACCUACCUGCCUCUUGUGGUGGUGGAUUACCCACGUUGACGGGAACGCCUCUCGUUAGCAUAGGUAGUGUCUACACUGAAGCACUACAGUGGCCCAGCUGCAGCUGUAGCAUUUCAAAUGUAGACUCAGUUCAAGAGUCAAAAGAUGGGUUUUCUCACUGAGGGUCUGAAAGUCAAGCUGGAUCCUUUCUGCCUGUUACACACACCAGCCUGCAGCUUGCAAUGGAAAGCACAGAGAUUUUAACUUACUCUGGUUUCAUCCAAUUCCCUCUGGUUCCUCGGGCAUUUCAAACAGCAAAUUAAGGUCCCAAUUUUGCCAAACUUACACUGAGAUCUGGUCUAGAAAGUUUUACUGGCAUAGCUAUGUCAGAAAUGUGAAAAAAAAUCAUACUUCUAUGGAUAUCCAGUAGAACCUCAGAGUUACGAACACCAGAGUUAUGAACUGACCAGUCAACUACACACCUCCUUUGGAACCAGAAGUACGCCAUCGGGCAGUAGCAGAGGCCAAAGAAA